Molecule: microRNA, 23 nt
Filed under: Pristionchus pacificus
Lineage: Eukaryota; Metazoa; Nematoda; Chromadorea; Rhabditida; Neodiplogasteridae
Description: ppc-miR-8257-3p
Source: miRBase by way of RNAcentral
ACUCACCGGGAGAAAUGCGAUGU